Molecule: long non-coding RNA, 2910 nt
Filed under: Oreochromis niloticus (Nile tilapia)
Lineage: Eukaryota; Metazoa; Chordata; Actinopteri; Cichliformes; Cichlidae
Description: lncRNA (ENSONIG00000040664.1)
Source: RNAcentral
AUGUCUCCCCAGCCCGCUACGCCUGUGCUUUCCCCGUGCUCUCCUGUCUCUCUCUCCUCCGGUCUGCACCUCUGUACUUCCUGUUUUACUUUGACAGUCUCCCGUCAGUGUCGCGUCUCUCCUGCCAUGUCUUGUUACAAUUAUCUGUGUCAGCUGUGUUCCCCGUGUGUCCCCACUUCCCUCGUUAACCCUCUGUGUAUUUAUGUGCAUGUCUCUCUCAGUUCAGUGUCGCUUCGUCAAUGUCUCCUCCCGAACCUGUGUGCCUCCCUGUGUUCCCUCGGUCCUCAGCUUAGUUCUCCCAGUUUAGUUUUGUUACUUUGUCAGUCCUGCAUUAAAGCAGCAUUUUUGAGUUCCACUUCAGUCUCUGUGAGUUUUGCAUUUGGGUCCUCAUCUGCCUCCACACAGCGUGUCCAUGACAGUACGAAGCGACCAGUAAUGGACCCAGCAAACUCCCUACGGAAUCGGCAGCGUGCAGACUCCGCCUUCCCUAGCGAGAGGAGAAGGCAGGAGGCUCGGCAUGCGCGGGAGCGCGAGUCUGCCUUUUAUGGGACUCGUUUGGCUCUAGGUGGGCCGCGCAGCCUCCAAACUGCAAACAGCACUGCCUUUCCUCCACCUCGUUCCCCGGUGAUAAGAGUUGGAGGAUUCAGCUUAUCGCCUGCCACAAUUCCUCCGACCUCCUCAACCUCCAGUCCACCUCCCCAAUCACCGCCCACGUCCCGCGCAAGGAAGGGGGUUACCCAGCGGCCGAAGAGAGAUUUCGUGCCUCCAACAAGCAGCCUAUCUCCGCUACAGUCCUUUGCGCUCUUCCUGGGACUUCCACGCUCGGAGCUGCACAAGCUCCCUGUCUCUUCGACGCAGCUCGGCCCGUCAUCGGCUCAGUCAGCCGACGUCUCAGAGGUGCCUGCGUCUACAGCCCCUGGAUCUCACGGCACAGUUCCCAGGAAAAAACGACGCUCACGCCGUCGCCACCCUAAAGUUACUGAGCAAACUCCGGUGGUGAGUGAAUCUGACUGUUCCUUCCAUGCCACUUCCGAGCCGGACCGACUCGGACAAUAUUCUAUUCCUGAGCCCGCAGUUUUCCAUGUCUGUAACUCAGAGAGGAAUAGUAAGUUUGUACAUGACUGUGUUUCCAAGCCUCAUAAUGUGUCUAAGUCCACCUCUGCACCUAUUAAGCAUGAGACUGAGUUCAUUGUCCCCCUAGAGACUGCUUUUCAGGCUGAAUUAAAUAAUUCUGACACUAUAGACUCUGUGCGUGUCAUCCCAGAGGCCGUUAAUUCAGUGUCUGGUAAAUCUGGGUCAGUUAAUCCAGAGCCUGCAUUACCUACCCUCACGCCCAUGUUUGAGAAUGACUGUUUUUCCUUUGCUCCUCCCAGGUCAGCAGUAAUUAACACACAGACUGAUACUCACACCGUCGAUAAGCAAAAGACUGUUUUUGAGGUGCAUACCUGUGAACUAAAUAUUAAAACAAACAGUCCUGAGAUUCCUCUUCCUGCUGAAACCGGAGAGGACCCCCUGGUGAAUGAACUGUGUGUCUUCCAGCCUUCAAGGGUUGCGCUUUCUGUUCUUCAGGUUGCUUUUGACCCUCUGUCACAUGUAGCUUUACCUACCAUGUCUGUUAGCUCUGAAACUGUAUCUCCAGGGGUAAACAAUGGUGCUCCUCUCGAGUUAACUAUAGCUGCGGCGAGGUCUGUCAACUCCGGUUUUGCAAAUACUAAGACUGUGCAUUCAAUUACUGUUGUUGAGGUUAAGGGCAACAAGUUACCGUCCGUCAUGUGUAAACUGCUAAGGGAGCCCGAGUUGCCUAUUCCUGAGUUAGUUUCGCACCCAGUUGCUUCAGACACCACCUGUGUUAACUCCCCUACUCCUGUACCUGCUGAACAUGAGACUGUGAAUGGUGUUUCUUCACUCCUGGACUGUGUUGCUCACCAGCCUGCAUACGUAGAAACAGGCUAUGUGAAUGCUCCUAUUUCCAUAACGGCUCCUUCUGAGCCAAGGAUUACAGACUCUAACUUUGCUAAGCCUGGAUCCUUCUGUAGAAUGACUGUUUUAAAGACUGCUACUUCUAACAUGGACAGAUUAAGAACAGCAGAGUUGCUAAAAUUGGCCUGCCAUAAGUCUCUGUUUUCUGAACCUGUGUUUGGCGCCAUUAACUUGGUUUUCCCAGUGUCUGUUACUGUUCCUGUGCUUCGCUCUCCACCUCCAGUUCCUAUAUCCAGGGCAGCUCGGGCCCAGCUUCCCCUUGCACCCGUAUCAGUUCCUCGGGUGAGGGUGGCUGAGGUCCAGCUGGUCCCUGCUUCUGUCUCCAGCCUGGCAGAGGCUCCAUUCAUCCCGGCACCCGUACCUGCUCCUCGGGUGGGGUUGAUGGACACCCAGCCAUUGCCAGCACCUGUUCCGGCUCCCCGGGUGAGGUCAGCUGUGACCCUGCCGACUCCUGCACCCGUCUCAGUUCCUCGGGUGGGAGCAGCAGAGGUCCAGCUAGGUCAUGCACCUACGCCGGCUCCCAGGGUUAAGGCUGCAAGAGCCCAGUUCGUCCCUGCACCCGUAUCUGUUCCUUGGGUGGGGAUGGCUGGUGUUCGGCCAGGGCCUGCACCCGUUCCUGUUCCCCGGAGGAGAGCAGCCAAGACUCAGACACCUGCUCAGUCACAAGUUCAACUACCUGCUGUUUCACCAUCAUUACAACUCGCACUUUUGUCCAUAGCGCAGUCAUUAGCUCAGUUAGUAGCACAGUUUCCUGUUCUGUCACCAGCUCAGUCUAUAGCACAGUCAUCACCUCCAUUAUCUGUCAUCCAUUUUGUUACCAUCUCAGUUCCUUGCUCCAUUGCCUGUUCAGUUAUCAACUCAGUCAUUAACUCUACCACCAGCUCAGUUAUCAGCUCAGCCACCUGCUCAGUCACUGCCAUCCUCUGCUGA